This is a long non-coding RNA of Oncorhynchus keta (chum salmon), 1617 nucleotides long. RefSeq lists it as uncharacterized. NCBI's taxonomy places the organism in Eukaryota, Metazoa, Chordata, Actinopteri, Salmoniformes, Salmonidae. The transcript is spliced from 3 exons. The record is from RefSeq and is a predicted model, not a curated record.
UGUAGGGGCGGCAGGUAGCCUAGUGGUUAGAGUGUAGGGGCGGCAGGUAGCCUAGUGGUUAGAGUGUAGGGACGGCAGGUAGCCUAGUGGUUAGAGUGUAGGGACGGCAGGUAGCCUAGUGGUUAGAGUGUAGGGACGGCAGGUAACCUAGUGGUUAGAGUGUGGGACGGCAGGUAACCUAGUGGUUAGAGUGUAGGGACGGCAGGUAGCCUAGUGGUUAGAGUGUAGGGACGGUAGGUAGCCUAGUGGUUAGAGUGUUGGGGCGGCAGGUAGCCUAGUGGUUAGAGUGUAGGGGCGGCAGGUAGCCUGGUGGUUAGUGUAGGGGCGGCAGGUAGCCUAGUGGUUAGAGUGUAGGGACGGCAGGUAGCCUAGUGGUUAGAGUGUAGGGACGGCAGGUAGACUAGUGGUUAGAGUGUAGGGGCGGCAGGUAACCUAGUGGUUAGAGUGUAGGGGCGGCAGGUAGCCUGGUGGUUAGUGUAGGGGCGGCAGGUAGCCUAGUGGUUAGAGUGUAGGGACGGUAGGUAGCCUAGUGGUUAGAGUGUUGGAGCGGCAGGUAGCCUAGUGGUUAGAGUGUAGGGACGGCAGGUAGCCUAGUGGUUAGAGUGUAGGGACGGCAGGUAACCUAGUGGUUAGAGUGUAGGGACGGCAGGUAGCCUAGUGGUUAGUGUAGGGACGGCAGGUAGCCUAGUGGUUAGAGUGUAGGGACGGCAGGUAGCCUAGUGGUUAGAGUGUAGGGACGGCAGGUAGCCUAGUGGUUUGAGUGUAGGGACGGCAGGUAGACUAGUGGUUAGAAUGUAGGGACGGCAGGUAGCCUAGUGGUUAGAGUGUAGGGGCGGCAGGUAGCCUAGUGGUUAGAGUGUAGGGGCGGCAGGUAGCCUAGUGGUUAGAGUGUAGGGACGGCAGGUAGCCUAGUGGUUAGAGUGUAGGGACGGCAGGUAACCUAGUGGUUAGAGUGUAGGGACGGCAGGUAACCUAGUGGUUAGAGUGUAGGGACGGCAGGUAGCCUAGUGGUUAGAGUGUAGGGACGGUAGGUAGCCUAGUGGUUAGAGUGUAGGGACGGCAGGUAGCCUAGUGGUUAGAGUGUAGGGACGGCAGGUAGCCUAGUGGUUAGAGUGUAGGGACGGCAGGUAGCCUAGUGGUUAGAGUGUAGGGACGGCAGGUAGCCUAGUGGUUAGAGUGUAGGGACGGCAGGUAGCCUAGUGGUUAGAGUGUAGGGACGGCAGGUAGCCUAGUGGUUAGAGUGUAGGGACGGUAGGUAGCCUAGUGGUUAGAGUGUAGGGGCGGCAGGUAGACUAGUGGUUAGAGUGUAGGGACGGCAGGUAGCCUAGUGGUUAGAGUGUAGGGACGGCAGGUAGCCUAGUGGUUAGAGUGUAGGGACGGCAGGUAGACUAGUGGUUAGAGUGUAGGGACGGCAGGUAACCUAGUGGUUAGAGUGUAGGGGCGGCAGGUAGCCUGGUGGUUAGAGUGUAGGGGCGGCAGGUAGCCUAGUGGUUAGAGUGUAGGGACGGCAGGUAGCCUAGUGGUUAAGAGUGUAGGGACGGCAGGUAACCUAGUGGUUAGAGUGUAGGGGCGGCAGGUAGCCUGGUGGUUAGAGUGUAGGGGCGGCAGGUAACCUAG